GACGAACGCUGGCGGCGUGCUUCAUACAUGCAAGUCGAACGAGAAGCUGACUUCGGUCAGUGGAAAGUGGCGGACGGGUGAGUAAUAUGUAGGAAAUCUGCCUUUAGGAGGGGGACAACAGAGGGAAACUUCUGCUAAUACCCCAUAUGAGCGUAGCUGAAAUGCUAUUCUUGAAAACUCCGGUGCCUAAAGAUGAGCCUGCAUCUGAUUAGCUAGUUGGUAGUGUAAUGGACUACCAAGGCGACGAUCAGUAGCUGGUUUGAGAGGAUGAUCAGCCACAAUGGGACUGAGACACGGCCAAUACUCCUACGGGAGGCAGCAGUAGGGAAUUUUGCGAAAUGGGCGAAAGCCUGACGCAGCAACGCCGCGUGAACGAUUAAGCCCUUCGGGGUGUAAAGUUCUGUCAGUGGGGACGAAACUUGACGGUACCCACAGAGGAAGCACCGGCUAACUCCGUG
This 458-nucleotide ribosomal RNA is filed under the name uncultured bacterium. Its description in RNAcentral is "partial 16S ribosomal RNA". It matches the Rfam family "Bacterial small subunit ribosomal RNA", at positions 28 to 507 of the family's 1533-position model. The record is from RNAcentral.